RNAcentral lists this non-coding RNA (62 nucleotides) under Chloropicon mariensis. Lineage: Eukaryota; Viridiplantae; Chlorophyta; Chloropicophyceae; Chloropicales; Chloropicaceae. The record is from RNAcentral.
GAGAAGAAGGUAAGUGUUUCUCUUCCUUUUGUUUUUCUUUUUAUGAUUUUUUUUUUUUUUUU